CCUACGGGUGGCUGCAGUGGGGAAUAUUGCACAAUGGGGGAAACCCUGAUGCAGCGACGCCGCGUGAGUGAAGAAGUAUUUCGGUAUUUAAAGCUCUAUCAGCAGGGAAGAAAAUGACGGUACCUGAUUAAGAAGCCACGGCUAACUACGUGCCAGCAGCCGCGGUAAUGCGUAGGGGGCCAGCGUUAUCCGGAUUUACUGGGUGUAAAGGGAGCGUAGGCGGCAGCACAAGUCAGGAGUGAAAUGCUGGGGCUUAACCCCGGAACUGCUUUGGAAACUGUGCAGCUAGAGUGCAGGAGAGGUAAGUGGAAUUCGUGGUGUAGCGGUGAAAUGCGUAGAUAUUAGGAAGAACUCCGAUUGCGAAGGCAGCUUACUGGACUGUAACUGACGUUGAGGCUCGAAAGCGUGGGGAGCAAACAGGAUUAGAUACCCGAGUAGUC
This 440-nucleotide ribosomal RNA is filed under the name uncultured bacterium. RNAcentral describes it as "partial 16S ribosomal RNA". It matches the Rfam family "Bacterial small subunit ribosomal RNA", at positions 338 to 795 of the family's 1533-position model. The record is from RNAcentral.